AGUGAACGCUGGCGGUAGGCCUAACACAUGCAAGUCGAACGGCAGCACAGUAAGAGCUUGCUCUUACGGGUGGCGAGUGGCGGACGGGUGAGGAAUACAUCGGAAUCUACUUUUUCGUGGGGGAUAACGUAGGGAAACUUACGCUAACACCGCAUACGACCUACGGGUGAAAGCAGGGGAUCUUCGGACCUUGCGCGAUUGAAUGAGCCGAUGUCGGAUUAGCUAGUUGGCGGGGUAAAGGCCCACCAAGGCGACGAUCCGUAGCUGGUCUGAGAGGAUGAUCAGCCACACUGGAACUGAGACACGGUCCAGACUCCUACGGGAGGCAGCAGUGGGGAAUAUUGGACAAUGGGCGCAAGCCUGAUCCAGCCAUACCGCGUGGGUGAAGAAGGCCUUCGGGUUGUAAAGCCCUUUUGUUGGGAAAGAAAAGCAGCAGGUUAAUACCCCGCUGUCCUGACGGUACCCAAAGAAUAAGCACCGGCUAACUUCGUG
Molecule: ribosomal RNA, 492 nt
Filed under: uncultured bacterium
Lineage: Bacteria
Description: partial 16S ribosomal RNA
Rfam family: Bacterial small subunit ribosomal RNA
Source: RNAcentral